UACGUAGGGCGCAAGCGUUAUCCGGAAUUAUUGGGCGUAAAGAGCUCGUAGGCGGUUUGUCGCGUCUGCCGUGAAAGUCCGGGGCUCAACCCCGGAUCUGCGGUGGGUACGGGCAGACUAGAGUGAUGUAGGGGAGACUGGAAUUCCUGGUGUAGCGGUGAAAUGCGCAGAUAUCAGGAGGAACACCGAUGGCGAAGGCAGGUCACUGGGCCGCAACUGACGCUGAGGAGCGAAAGCAUGGGGAGCGAACAGG
This 253-nucleotide ribosomal RNA is filed under the name uncultured bacterium. RNAcentral's name for it is "partial 16S ribosomal RNA". It matches the Rfam family "Bacterial small subunit ribosomal RNA", at positions 524 to 776 of the family's 1533-position model. The record is from RNAcentral.